GGUGGCUCAGUGGUAGAGUGCUUGCCUUGAAUGCAUGAAGCCCUAGGUUCGAUUCCUGAGCACCA
This 65-nucleotide transfer RNA is filed under the name Dipodomys ordii (Ord's kangaroo rat). It matches the Rfam family "tRNA". From Rfam's summary of the family: Transfer RNA (tRNA) molecules are approximately 80 nucleotides in length. Their secondary structure includes four short double-helical elements and three loops (D, anti-codon, and T loops). The record is from Rfam by way of RNAcentral. Lineage: Eukaryota; Metazoa; Chordata; Mammalia; Rodentia; Heteromyidae.